AAUCCGUAACAAGGUUUCCGUAGGUGAACCUGCGGAAGGAUCAUUGUCGAAACCUGCCCAGCAGAACGACCCGCGAACAUGUUUUUCACCGCACGCGGGGCGCGGGGGGCUCCGGCCGCCCGCGUCCCGCGGGGCUCAGGGAGCACGCGGGGGAACCGGGGGGGGCCUCGGCCACUCCCCUCCGCGCUCCUCGGCCGAACAACCAACCCCGGCGCCGGACGCGCCAAGGAAAUCUGAAACGAGAAGAGCGCGCCCCCGUCGGCCCCGGAGACGGGCAGCCCUCGGGGUGCGUCGUCCUCUUUCGAGAACCGAAACGACUCUCGGCAACGGAUAUCUCGGCUCUCGCAUCGAUGAAGAACGCAGCGAAAUGCGAUACUUGGUGUGAAUUGCAGAAUCCCGCGAACCAUCGAGUCUUUGAACGCAAGUUGCGCCCGAAGCCUUCGGGCCGAGGGCACGUCUGCCUGGGUGUCACGCAACCGUCGCCCCCAGCCCCUCCCCGUCUCGGACGAGGGGCGCAGCGGGGCGGAUUCUGGCCUCCCGUGGGCUCCCCGCCCGCGGCUGGCCCAAAAGCCGAGUCUCGGCCGCGAACGCAUCGGCAAUCGGUGGUUGCAAGACCCUCGGACGCCGCCGCGUGCGCUCGCCGGCCGGAGAGACCCUCGAGACCCCGAAGCACGGCGCGAGCGUGCUCCCAUCGCGACCUCAGGUCAGGCGGGACC
RNAcentral lists this ribosomal RNA (716 nucleotides) under Suregada boiviniana. RNAcentral describes it as "eukaryotic LSU rRNA". The stretch from base 316 to 471 matches the Rfam family "5.8S ribosomal RNA". Lineage: Eukaryota; Viridiplantae; Streptophyta; Magnoliopsida; Malpighiales; Euphorbiaceae. The record is from RNAcentral.